GUGGAUUAGAUACCCUGGUAGUCCACGCCCUAAACGAUGUCAACUAGCUGUUGGGGGUUUGAAUCCUUGGUAGCGAAGCUAACGCGAGAAGUUGACCGCCUGGGGAGUACGGCCGCAAGGUUAAAACUCAAAGGAAUUGACGGGGACCCGCACAAGCGGUGGAUGAUGUGGAUUAAUUCGAUGCAACGCGAAAAACCUUACCUGCUCUUGACAUGUACCGAAGCCCGCAGAGACGUGGGUGUGCCCGAAAGGGAGCGGUAACACAGGUGCUGCACGGUCGUCGUCUACU
This 289-nucleotide ribosomal RNA is filed under the name uncultured bacterium. Its description in RNAcentral is "partial 16S ribosomal RNA". It matches the Rfam family "Bacterial small subunit ribosomal RNA", at positions 773 to 1060 of the family's 1533-position model. The record is from RNAcentral.